GACGAACGCUGGCGGCGUGCUUAACACAUGCAAGUCGAACGGAAAGGCCCUGCUUUUGUGGGGUGCUCGAGUGGCGAACGGGUGAGUAACACGUGAGUAACCUGCCCUUGACUUUGGGAUAACUUCAGGAAACGGGGGCUAAUACCGGAUAGGAGCUCCUGCUGCAUGGUGGGGGUUGGAAAGUUUCGGCGGGUGGGGAUGGACGCGCGGCUUAUCAGCUUGUUGGUGGGGUAGUGGCUUACCAAGGCUUUGACGGGUAGGCGGCCUGAGAGGGUGACCGGCCACCUUGGGCCUGCGAUACGGCCCAGACUCCUACGGGAGGCAGCAGUGGGGAAUAUUGCACAAUGGGCGGAAGCCUGAUGCAGCAACGCCGCGUGCGGGAUGACGGCCUUCGGGUUGUAAACCGCUUUCGCCUGUGACGAAGCGUGAGUGACGGUAAUGGGUAAAGAAGCACCGGCUAACUACGUG
RNAcentral lists this ribosomal RNA (468 nucleotides) under uncultured bacterium. Its description in RNAcentral is "partial 16S ribosomal RNA". It matches the Rfam family "Bacterial small subunit ribosomal RNA", at positions 28 to 507 of the family's 1533-position model. The record is from RNAcentral.